RNAcentral lists this ribosomal RNA (422 nucleotides) under uncultured bacterium. RNAcentral's name for it is "bacterial SSU rRNA". It matches the Rfam family "Bacterial small subunit ribosomal RNA", at positions 32 to 434 of the family's 1533-position model. The record is from RNAcentral.
AAUCAACGCUGGCGGCGUGCCUCAGACAUGCAAGUCGAACGCGAAAGUUCCCUUCGGGGGAUAAGUAGAGUGGCGUCCGGGUGAGUAACACGUAGGUAAUCUACCUUUGGGUGGGGAAUAACAACCGGAAACGGUUGCUAAUACCGCAUAAUGCAGCGGCACCACAUGGUGACAGUUGUUAAAGCGGGGGAUCGCAAGACCUCGCGCCUAAAGAGGAGCCUGCGGCGGAUUAGCUAGUUGGAGGGUAACGGCCUACCAAGGCAACGAUCCGUAGCCGGCCUGAGAGGGCGGUCGGCCACACUGACACUGAAAUACGGGUCAGACUCCUACGGGAGGCAGCAGUCGGGAAUUUUGGGCAAUGGGCGAAAGCCUGACCCAGCAACGCCGCGUGAAGGAUGAAAUCCCUCGGGAUGUAAACUUCG